UCCUCUUUGUAAUGUUUCUUGCUCAAAUGAGUAUUCCAGCCACAGUUUGCCUGCAGCUUGCAUAUAUAUAUAUAUAUAUAUAUAGCGCUGGUGCUUCUGCAAUUCUGAGAUGCUCAUUUGAGCAAGCAGCGUUACAAGAGGA
RNAcentral lists this microRNA precursor (142 nucleotides) under Malus domestica (apple). RNAcentral describes it as "miR828a stem-loop (mdm-MIR828a)". Its record names the gene mdm-MIR828a. The stretch from base 9 to 135 matches the Rfam family "MIR828 microRNA precursor family". Lineage: Eukaryota; Viridiplantae; Streptophyta; Magnoliopsida; Rosales; Rosaceae. The record is from miRBase by way of RNAcentral.